Molecule: long non-coding RNA, 573 nt
Filed under: Brachypodium distachyon (stiff brome)
Lineage: Eukaryota; Viridiplantae; Streptophyta; Magnoliopsida; Poales; Poaceae
Description: long non-coding RNA (BDIS_LNC004313)
Source: RNAcentral
ACAACAAGAACACUAACUGAAGAAUAUGCACGCACUCCAAAAUUGACAAAACGAAACACAACAGUACACUGAUGUAGAGUUGGAAAACUGUCCUGCCAGAGAGUCUUGUUUCCAGGCUUGCUCAUCACAUCAGCCAAGACGAAACAACAAACGCCACACGUACAAAAGGAGGAGUCUUUCCAAGCCACAACGGGUGCCCAGGAGCAGCAGGACGAGAAUGAGGAGCACGACGACACGAGGGUCAAUGUUUGAUUCCCUGGAAUGCUAAUAUUCUCAAAUGCCUUAACCGUAAUGGGAGUGGCACAUUCGUUUAGACUUCAUCCUAUAUACGCUUAUGGACAGGCAGAAAUGAACGGAUACCGUUCUCCAGAGAUAGUAGCUUAAUUAGCUUAAGUUUCAAUCCUAACGCACGAGAAGAAAAACGAAAAGCGUGGGACUUCCAGUACGAUGAUAGGGCCGGACCUCAGUGGUCCUUUAUGUCUGAAGCGGAUGUGGGCGUGGUCAACCGAAUCUGAGCCGUGUGCACUGGCAGGCGUCGGAACGCUAAUCGGAGCACAUAGAGUGGGCGGUGGC